Molecule: ribosomal RNA, 497 nt
Filed under: uncultured bacterium
Lineage: Bacteria
Description: partial 16S ribosomal RNA
Rfam family: Bacterial small subunit ribosomal RNA
Source: RNAcentral
GAUGAACGCUGGCGGCGUGCCUAAUACAUGCCAGUCGAGCGAACAGAUGAGGAGCUUGCUCCUCUGACGUUAGCGGCGGACGGGUGAGUAACACGUGGAUAACCUACCUAUAAGACUGGGAUAACUUCGGGAAACCGGAGCUAAUACCGGAUAAUAUAUUGAACCGCAUGGUUCAAUAGUGAAAGACGGUUUUGCUGUCACUUAUAGAUGGAUCCGCGCCGCAUUAGCUAGUUGGUAAGGUAACGGCUUACCAAGGCGACGAUGCGUAGCCGACCUGAGAGGGUGAUCGGCCACACUGGAACUGAGACACGGUCCAGACUCCUACGGGAGGCAGCAGUAGGGAAUCUUCCGCAAUGGGCGAAGGCCUGACGGAGCAACGCCGCGUGAGUGAUGAAGGUCUUCGGAUCGUAAAACUCUGUUAUUAGGGAAGAACAAAUGUGUAAGUAACUAUGCACGUCUUGACGGUACCUAAUCAGAAAGCCACGGCUAACUACGUG